This 484-nucleotide ribosomal RNA is filed under the name uncultured bacterium. Its description in RNAcentral is "partial 16S ribosomal RNA". It matches the Rfam family "Bacterial small subunit ribosomal RNA", at positions 28 to 507 of the family's 1533-position model. The record is from RNAcentral.
AUUGAACGCUGGCGGCAUGCUUUACACAUGCAAGUCGAACGGCAGCGCGGGCUUCGGCCUGGCGGCGAGUGGCGAACGGGUGAGUAAUGCAUCGGAACGUGCCCAGUAGUGGGGGAUAGCCCGGCGAAAGCCGGAUUAAUACCGCAUACGACCUGAGGGUGAAAGCGGGGGACCGAAAGGCCUCGCGCUAUUGGAGCGGCCGAUGUCGGAUUAGCUAGUUGGUGGGGUAAAGGCUUACCAAGGCGACGAUCCGUAGCUGGUCUGAGAGGACGACCAGCCACACCGGGACUGAGACACGGCCCAGACUCCUACGGGAGGGCGCCGGGGGGAAUUUUGGACAAUGGGGGCAACCCUGGUCCCGGCAUGCCGGCUGCGGGAAGAAGGCCUUCCGGUUUGAAAACGCCUUUGUUCGGGAAGAAAUCCUUUGGGCUAAUACCCCGGGGGGAUGACGGUACCGGAAGAAUAAGCACCGGCUAACUACGUG